This 202-nucleotide long non-coding RNA is filed under the name Mytilus galloprovincialis (Mediterranean mussel). The record is from RNAcentral. Lineage: Eukaryota; Metazoa; Mollusca; Bivalvia; Mytilida; Mytilidae.
UGCGGGACUACAAUGACGGUUUCUUUUGAACUUUAAAAAAUAAAUUUCAAAAUCAGCAACAAAAAACUAUUAGACGAAUAAAGUAAAUCAUAGAUUGCAUGUUUAUCAAGGAAAAUAACGACCUUACACAGGUCGUUAUUUUAUGCCUUGGAGCAUAUAUCAUUGAAACAUGGUAUCGUCCGGGUUGAUUCCGAAAAAGAAU